GUGCCAGCAGCCGCGGUAUACCGGCAGCCCAAGUGAUGACCGAUCUUAUUGAGCCUAAAGCGUCCGUAGCUGGCUGCGCAAGUCCGUCGGGAAAUCCACUCGCCCAACGAGUGGGCGUCCGACGGAAACUGCACAGCUUGGGACCGGAAGGCUCGAAGGGUACGUUCGGGGUAGGAGUGAAAUCCCGUAAUCCCGGACGGACUACCGAUGGCUAAAGCACUCUGAGAAGACGGCUUCGACAGUGAGGGACGAAAGCUCGGGUCUCAAACCGGAUUAGAUACCCUUGUAGUCC
This 292-nucleotide ribosomal RNA is filed under the name uncultured bacterium. Its description in RNAcentral is "partial 16S ribosomal RNA". It matches the Rfam family "Archaeal small subunit ribosomal RNA", at positions 455 to 747 of the family's 1478-position model. The record is from RNAcentral.